This is an RNA transcript of Columba livia (rock pigeon), 3925 nucleotides long. It is a transcript of the gene named tetratricopeptide repeat domain 19, with no coding region annotated. The record is from RefSeq and is a predicted model, not a curated record. The transcript is spliced from 11 exons. NCBI's taxonomy places the organism in Eukaryota, Metazoa, Chordata, Aves, Columbiformes, Columbidae.
UAAAGGGCCCGCGGGGGGGAUGCUGGCGGCGGGGUUAUCGAGGCUGUUGUGCCGCUUGGUCGCCCGGCGCUGCCCCGCGGGGCUCCGGCCGCUCCGCACCGCCCGGCGUGGCGGCGCCCGCGGGGAGGAGGAUGGCGGCGGCGGCGGCAGCAGCAGGACGGGGUUCGCGCGGCGGCGGUGGGCCCGGCCGGCCGGGGGUGCCCUGGGCUUCCUGGGAGCCCUCUCGCUCUUCCCCAGGAACGCCGAGGAGGACGACGAGGACGCCAUCAUCCUCCUGCUGAAGAAAGCCAAGCUCAGCGUCAUGAAGGGGGAGCUGGGAGAGGCCGAUCGGAUUCUGCACGAAGCCCUGCGACUGUCGCACCAGGCGGACAACAGGGACGCCAUCGUGUACACCUACAGCAUGAUGGCAAACGUGGCCUUCAUGCAGGGACAGCUGGACAACGCAGAAAAGCUCUACAAAGCAAGUAUGAGCUAUUUGCUUGCAGGGGACACAAAGGAGGAUGACAAUGCAAUCCUUGAGAUGUCCCUCAAGCUGGCCAGUAUCUAUGCUUCUCAGAAACAGCACGAAUUAGCUGUGGCUGGCUACCAGUUCUGCAUCCUGACUUUAGAGGAGAAGAUUGCCAAGCAAAAGGACUUGCCUGAGGAUGUCCUACCAGCUGAAGAAAAGGCCAACACCCGUCUCUUGCUUGGGAUGAGCCUAGACUCCUAUGCUCGCUAUCUCCUAAACAUUAACCAGCUCCCAGCGGCCCAGCAAAUGUAUGAGAAGGCUCUGCAGAUCUCAAAUGAUGUUCAGGGAGAGACUCAUCCACAGACUGUGGUCCUGAUGAAUGAUUUAGCAACUGUGCUGGAUGCUCAGGGACACUACGAUGAGGCUUACUCCUAUGUGAAGAGGGCAGCCGAGCUGGCCAAGGAAACUGAACACUCCGAGGAGCACAUGGUGCUCAAUAACCUGGCAGCAAUUCUGAUGCACAAAGAAGACUUUCUGCAAGCAAAGCAAGUGUACAAAGAAGCUCUCAAGCAGGCACAACAGAAGGGAGAUGUUGUUUCUGUCCAGCAUAUCCAGGAAGAACUAGCAGAGCUGGCCAAGAGGAGAAAGGGCUCCAAAUAAGUUUGGCCACGGAGUCCAGCCUUGAGGUGACUGACAGCAGCGAGUCAAGUACAAGCAGCCAGGUUGCUUGAAGAUCAAGAGUGUUUUGCCAGAGCAUUUAGCAUCCAAAACCAGAACAUGCCCUCUCAGAGGAGGUGUGAGACUGUUAUACUCAGCCUCCUUACCCCAGUCCACGGCCCACCAAGUGCCAGAGCUGUUGUCCUUUUCUUGGAGGUCAGUGCUACAAUGCUCAGGCUUUCUGUUGGAAAAGAUGGUUACGUACAAACCAUCAUAUGCCUUCACGUGAAUUUAGUGCAAACAGCCUGCUUCUACCACAGAAUCUGUCAGUUCUGCCCUGCAGGGAAGCCUUAUUAAUAGAUGGAGGAUUAAACCAGAAGUUAUCAAAUCCAUAUUAAAUUUGUAGUUCUGUUACUAACAAAGCAUUAUUCUAACCUCUCAUUCAUAAGAACUUCAGCUAUUUGGCAUAAUCCUUAAUGUUAAUUGCAUCACUAUUAGUUUACUUACAGCAGUGUUAGUGGCUUCAGCUCUGCUUAACUUUUUAAGAGGAGGCACGCAGGUUUCCUAGAGUAGAUGUUCAUUGAAGCUGGGAAAAUUCUGUCACAUAUACAGCUUCAUUCUCAGAAAGCUAGGAAGUAAAAACAUGGCUGUUACAGGCACGCUUGUACUAACAGGAGUGCUCUAACACAUUAAAGCUGAUCUCUAAAGGGCUGGUUUCUGGUUUUGAAGUGUUAACUGGGAACCCUGCAGCACCCCCUCAGGAAAGUGUUUUGCCUGUUCUGGUGAACAUAGUUUGAUGCUGCAAAACAAGAGGGAGACACAGGAAAAGCAAAUGGAGAACUGAUCCCCUUUAUUGAUUGGUCUGAAUCCAGAAGUCACUGUCUACUGAAGACAUUGUGUGGAAAAAAAAAAAUGCUGAGUUUGAUGAUGCAUGGGAUUUUCAAGUCUUAAAUGAUCUCAUAUCAGAAUCACGAAACAUAUCAAAGAUGAAAGCAUUGUGAAAGCGCUGAUCAGAAAUCAGUUAAAAAUUUGUAGUAAACUACACUUUGUAAACAUGAUUUACAAACACCUUCCUGUUUGAAACAGGGCAGAUGUAAUUCCAUACUUGAAGAUGACUGGAAUUGUGGUAAACCCUAACUUAGGCUCUGGAGAGGAUUUUUUUUACACUGGAGAAGUUAGAACUGAUAACAAACAAAAAAGCAGCAACAUUUUAUGUGCAAAUGGCACUCAAGCUGUAUCUGAGGAGCAGGUGACUACCCUACUUCGGCUAUCGCUGCUGCAGCAGCACCCGCAUGAAGCUUUGCAAGGAACAUGCUCUACGGAUGGCACAGUUAGCAAAGACGUUUGUCUCUACAUGCCUCUUGCACACUGUGUUUGUUACACUAAGAAAGAGAACAAGUGAGUUUUAGAAUGAAACUUAACUCUGCACUCCAAAUUUAAAUCUACAGAAAGGGCAGAUCAACUUGUUUUCCAGUAUAUGUUGCUGUGGGAACAAAAAAAGUUAAGAGCACAAGUCUAUGGAGAGGAUGAAAAAUGCAUUACUUCAGGCCAGAAGGGUAAAGGACAGGAGGGUGAGAAAAGUCUUUCUUAGAGAAAGACUGCAAGGAGAUUUAAGACUGCCAACCCAUCUAUUCUGAUGCAGUGUUUAAAAAGAGUAGCAAAAUAAUUCUGUAUUUGCAAUGCAGUGUCAAGUUUCCACAUGAGUUCCUUUGGAUUUUCUUUCCCACACUUGGGGCAAAAAGGCUCCUCUAAAGUACCCAAAGUAAAUUUGCUAUCGAUAAAUGGUUCUGUACUGCUGUUUGUAACCGGACCAUUACAGUGCCUCUAUAAGAUGUAGCGCUUACACAGCUUAAGGUUACACAGCUCCACGAUACCUUCCAUACAAUGUACUGCAAAUACAGUGUUAAAUUAAUAUUUUGACUGGAAAACAACUCUGUUCAUCAAUGAGAUGCAAAAGCAGUUUGGAAUCUGACAGACCACGUCCCCCCGCUCAGUGCUAUCUGUAAAUCAGUCCUUCUACCCCAGAAGAUUUAAAUUCACUUCCUGAGGUCAGUGCAGCAAAAAAUAAGAUGCUCUUGAAGACGGAUGUCAGGACACCCUGCGAUAUAACUAACCAGAUGUAUGUAUACGCGAGCUACAGGCAUAUCAUAGCAGGCAUUGAUAGAUGAAUGAUUAAGGAGACUUUCCUAGUACCAUAUACAAUUUAAAAAUAAAAAUAAAAAUCACCCUAACAAGUAUUGCACACUGUAGGAGUCAAGCCAAGCAUUUGUAAGGGCUUCCACCAAAAGCUUGCUCAGAGGGCUAGGGAUCGGGAUGGGGACGCAGACUUUAAAAUAAUUAUUACAUCAAGAUUUUAAAAUCAGACUGGAGGAAGGUAAUAAAAUCACAGUACCUAUUGCAAACUGGUUGUAACAGAAGCCAAGUAGUUGACUCGUGUGUUGCUCAAUUAUUCUAUAAAAGCAUUUUGUUUUAUUUAAACUUGGGAUGUUGAGGUUUUUUUCUUCUUCAAGGAUUUAUCAACCCACCCAGAGCCUCUGCUCAGAUAAGCCAUUUGCUGUGGUUAAAUAUGACAGUAAAAUUUAGUAGCCUGUUUUGACUGCAUACAAUGCAGAAACGGAAAACACUAAGAUAGGCUUUUGGGGCACAGUUAAAAUUCCCAGUGUGCACAACAGUGAGGUAUGCCUCCAGAAGCUGUUCUUUUUUUUAUCCUUUUAAAAAUGAACCAUAACAUACCCAUGCAAGAAUAUUUCUGCAGUGUUGCUAAAUAAAACCAACUGCACCAAAAAUUUACAAUGUGGCAGAAUUUAAAAUUCAAAGAAA